Molecule: ribosomal RNA, 502 nt
Filed under: uncultured bacterium
Lineage: Bacteria
Description: partial 16S ribosomal RNA
Rfam family: Bacterial small subunit ribosomal RNA
Source: RNAcentral
AGCGAACGCUGGCGGCGUGCCUAACACAUGCAAGUCGAACGUGAAAGGGAGCAAUCCCAAGUCAUGUGGCGUACGGGUGAGUAACACGUAGGUAAUCUACCCCAGAAUCUGGAAUAACCGGCCGAAAGGUUGGCUAAUACGGGAUAGAGCGACGGAAUCCGUAAUUGGGUUUUUCGGGAAAGGGAGCCUGUCAAAAGGCCUUCGUUCUGGGAUGAGCCUGCGUCCCAUCAGCUAGUUGGUGAGGUAAAAGCUUACCAAGGCAAUGACGUGUAGCUGGUCUGAGGGGAAGGACAGGCACACUGGGACUGGAAAACGGUCCAGGACCCUUAGGGGAGGAGCAAUGGGGAAUCUUGCGAAAUGGACGGAAGUCCGGAGCAACACCGCCGCGUGGGUGGAGGAGGGCUUCGGGUUGUAAAGCUCUGUCGAGUGGGACGAAAAUGCGUGGAGUUCACAGCUCUAGGAACUGACGGUACCAGUAAAGGAAGCACCGGCUAACUCCGUG